This 267-nucleotide ribosomal RNA is filed under the name uncultured bacterium. RNAcentral describes it as "partial 16S ribosomal RNA". It matches the Rfam family "Bacterial small subunit ribosomal RNA", at positions 28 to 291 of the family's 1533-position model. The record is from RNAcentral.
GAUGAACGCUAGCGGCAGGCUUAACACAUGCAAGUCGAGGGGCAGCACGAUGUAGCAAUACAUUGGUGGCGACCGGCGCACGGGUGCGUAACACGUAUGGAACUUGCCCUUUACUGGAGGAUAGCCCGGAGAAAUCCGGAUUAAUACUCCAUAACAGUCGAGGUGGCAUCACCUUGGCUUGAAAGCUCCGGCGGUAAAGGAUGGCCAUGCGCACGAUUAGCUAGUUGGUGAGGUAACGGCUCACCAAGGCUACGAUCGUUAGGGGCC